GUACACUCCUACGGGAGGCAGCAGUGGGGAAUUUUGGACAAUGGGCGAAAGCCUGAUCCAGCAAUGCCGCGUGAGUGAAGAAGGCCUUCGGGUUGUAAAGCUCUUUUGUCAGGGAAGAAACGGUGAAAGCUAAUAUCUUUUGCUAAUGACGGUACCUGAAGAAUAAGCACCGGCUAACUACGUGCCAGCAGCCGCGGUAAUACGUAGGGUGCAAGCGUUAAUCGGAAUUACUGGGCGUAAAGCGUGCGCAGGCGGUUUUGUAAGUCUGAUGUGAAAUCCCCGGGCUCAACCUGGGAAUUGCAUUGGAGACUGCAAGGCUAGAAUCUGGCAGAGGGGGGUAGAAUUCCACGUGUAGCAGUGAAAUGCGUAGAUAUGUGGAGGAACACCGAUGGCGAAGGCAGCCCCCUGGGUCAAGAUUGACGCUCAUGCACGAAAGCGUGGGGAGCAAACGGGAUUAGAUACCCGUGUAGUCCCAUGA
Molecule: ribosomal RNA, 478 nt
Filed under: uncultured organism
Description: partial 16S ribosomal RNA
Rfam family: Bacterial small subunit ribosomal RNA
Source: RNAcentral